GGCAAUUUCUGCAUUGACUUUAUACAUUUCUGUAGUCUUUAGAUUUUUUUUUUCAGUAAGCAAAUACCACUUUUGUUUGUAGGAAGCACAGUAAGAGACAAAAACACAGAAGACAGUGGGGAAAUGUGCCCUUCCCCUUCAGAGAGGAAAUGAGGCCCUGACCUGCACAGAUGCCUCCCUGUUUGCUAGCCCACGGACAGUCUGCACGGAUCAGCAUUCUGCAGCAGCAGUCUGGGAGACAAGAGGGUGCAGCACCACUGUCACUGGCAUGGGCUACAGACUCCAAGAAACCUACAUCUGAAGCCUCGUCCAUGAUUUGAUAUUUUUGAAGUCCUUUUGAGCCCUUGUUUGUUCUUUGAUGACACAAGACCUACUCCCUGAAUCGAGGAAUAAAUAAGAUAUGCUGGGGGGAAUGUACCUGGUAUAGCAUGUGCUCAAUAAAAGGUAGGAGGAAGAGGAAGUCAAAGAGAGAGAAUUAUCAUUAGCCUUGAGAAAUGGGUGCCCCCAUAGGGUAGUCCCUGGCAUUUUAAAUGCUACCAUUGGUACUUUACUCCUUUUUUCUUUUCUCAAUGUCACAUCCCAAAUCGACAUUCACUGAGCUCCUGGUAAAGAAGGAAGGCAGAGUUCAUAAACAAGAGUGAGCUAUAUAUGGAUCCUGCCUUCAAAAGAGCAAGCUGGUGUUAUAGAUGGGAGGGAGGAUGUCCAAGACACACUUCAAAAUGCUGCACAUUGAUCAAUGGGAAAAAUGGAUCUGCAGUUCCUACCACUGGUAAGGGGAAAAGGAAGUGGAGUGGGGCAACUUUACUUAGGGAAGACCAGAGUUCAUGGCUAGGUGAUCAGAAAAGAAACUUCCUUGCAAAAUAGAUCCUACAGAGCAUGGAGGUGCAGCUUCGAGGUAGAUCACGCUAACUUGCCUAAUUAUGCAGAAGGUCCUGUACCACAAUAAUAACAACAACAACAAUAACAGAUGGCACAAAAAUCAUGGCAAAAGUUGGGGUACAUGUCCGAAUAAAAGAAUGGCAGGAGAUGGUGAAGAAGGCACCCUCUGCUCUGGACAUGGUGAGACUGAAUGCUCCCACAUCCGAGAAUUGGAGCCUUGGAUAGAGAGGAAGACAGAGGAAAUCUGACCACCCACGCCACCACCUGCCCUGACCUCUCACCCUGAAGCCUCAGGAAAGGGAAAAUCAAUGGGCUCCCGAAGUGCAGGAGCCCAGGGUUUGGGACUGGAAUUUGCCCCAUGCAGAGUGUUUACUGAUCUAGAGACCAGAUAGGUUCAAUGAGCUCAUCCUUAUCUUGAGAGGAAAUUAGGGAGCUCAGACUAAGACAAAGCCACAUUUUAUUCAAUGAAAAUUUACCCCUCCACCCCCCCCCACACACACACACACUACACACAAUGUCACAGAAAACAUCUACUUGAGGAACUUUGUCUCUAAAGUUUGGUUCUAAAAAAAAAAAAAAAUCAAGGAAUUGGAAAUGGUGAGCUUACAGAAAGCCAGAAAAGUUAUUCCGGAAUCUUUUCCAUUCACCCCCCAUGCAGAUCUAUAUCCUUUUUUUUUUCCCCUACAGUUUGCAAAUAUUGACUAAGUUCAAGGGCAGAGGCUUAAGGUCUAACUUCAGAGUUAGCAUGAGGUGAAAUGCUUAAGAUGGUGCAAUACUGUGCUAAUGAAGAACAUAUUAGAUCCCAAGGUUAGUUAUGGGCAGUUCUUGUCCCCUGACCCAGUUGAUAUUUGUUUUAUCAAGUCAGGGACUAUUUUUGUCAUCAUUGUUAAUCUUCCUCUUGCCAGAUCUGUUUUGGCCGAGGGCAUGCACUUGAGGUAUGUUAGAAGAAUGGAGUGCAGUAUUGUGGGAAAGAAUUAUUGCUAAUUCUGUCUGCCUACAGCUUCCUCAGUCCUAUUUGUCUGAUCUUAACUCACUGAGCAAGAUUAGAGAUGGAAAAUACUGGAAGAGAGUGACCUUGUUCCAGGAAGUAGAUUUUUAACCAAAAGAUCAAGACAGCAGCAGCAUUCCCAUUAAGACGGCAGGUCUUCGUUGUCUUGGAAAGGUUUUGAAUUGCCCAUCAGGGGAGCUCUUGAUGGAGUAUUUUGCCAAAAAAGAAGUUUAUUUCUUCAUGCAUAAGUCCAGUCUAUUGAGACUUAUCUUUGGCCUCCACAUUACCAAGGUCUUGUAUCAAGGAUUCUGGAGACCUGGCCUAAGAUCUCUGGUAGUUCUAGCUGGAAUUCUAAAUGAGCUGGCAUUUCUGACCCAUGAACUUUGGAGUUAAACCAACCCUGGUUCAAAUCUUCAUUUCCCUAUGCCUCAGUUUCUCCAGGUGUGAACAUACUCAUAGCAACGUUCUCCUUGCAAGAUUGUUAUGAGGAUCAACGUGGUAUUGUAUCUGAAAGCAUUCAACACAGUGCCUGUUGCUUCAAAUGGGAUUAAUACAUUUUAGUCUCCUUCCUUCCGCUCAGCCACUCCAGCUGCUGGUGUAUCUCCUUUCUCUGCUGCAUACAUUUGACAUAGUGGAACCAGGCCAGUAACACUUGAGGGGAUGCUGUCCUCAUAAGAAUGAAGAGAGAAAAAGAAAAGUUUCAAACAAUGUUCGGGAUAGCAAGACCCGCUUUUAAAUGAGCUGAAUAUGAACCCUGUGAGCCCCACUGAUGUUUGAAAGAGGUUAAUAUAAAAAUAGAUUUCUAAAAAUCUGAUAAUCAUAGAGUUCAUCAUAUUCUUCUUUUGGAUAUUAAUGAUGUGACUCAGUUAUUCAAGGAACUGAUAAACCCCCUGGGUAGUCGGUUGAAGGAAGAUGAUGUUCUUUUAGACUCAGCAGCCUACCCAGAGUUCUCCCCACUGACACCUCUUGUUUGAGGAUAAUACAUCUAAGAAUUCUAGUAAGUCUUAGCCACUUCCUCUCUUGAGCAUCAUGAGAAUGGUAGAAAUCCACCAAGCUGUAUCCUCCUCUUGGGCAUCCUGAGUUUUCUCAGUUGUCUCAAAACAACUUGCUUCCUAAUGUUAAAUAAAAUGGCCAUUUACAAAGGAGAUAGUCAAAGGUGUAUUUUACAUAAGCCAAUAUUAAAAGAUUCUGAUGGCAGUGAUUACUCUCAUAUUCGAUACAGGAAAUUCUCCAGUGUAUCCUAACUGGUCACAGGGAAAAUUUGUUUGAGCAACACAACACUGCAAGUGUCUUUAUGUUUGAUUUUGGAAAUCAAACGCACCAAACUUUCAAGAAAAUGGCAUAUUAAGACCUUCUGUCUGGUCUCUGUUUCUCUGCUCUUGGCACUUCCCAAUACUAUUAGAGCCAGAUCAGAGGGAGAAAUGGGAAAAGGUCAUCUAGGAUACUUAAUAAAUAUUAAAAUAGUUAAUGUAUAUUUCAAUCCAUUUUUUUAUGUGUUAACAAUAAAAAAUUAGAACAUACAGUAGAAAUGAAAUAGUGAUCAAACCUACAAGUAUUUAAAAUAAUGUUAUAAAACUAAUCUGUAAAGGUGUAAAGAAAACCUACAAGUAUAGGAAAUAAUAAUAACAAUAAUAAUAGCAACUAGAAUUUAUUUUCUUUUAAUGUGCCAAGAAUUGUCCAAUAUUUUUACUUACAUGAUUUGUUUAGUUUUCCUUGGAAAUGUUAUAAGACAUUUAAAAUUAUUAUCCUCAUUAUUUGAAAAAGGAAACUGGGACACAUCGAGGUAAGGUAAUGUUUUGAAUGGGAAGAUCCAAAAUAAUAAAUGUGUUUAUUUUAUCUAAUUUAUUCAAUAACUUUAUCGGUAAAUUAAUGUAAUAAAUUUACUCUAUAAAUUAAUGAAAUUUCAAUCAAAUUUCAGAGGACUGUUUUUGGAACUUAAACUAUUUUAAAGUUUAUAUAGAAAAGAAAAUCCUUUAAAAACUAAACUAAGUGAAGAAAAUCAAAGUUAGAUUCCCUCAUGACAUGCAAAAAUAAAUUCUUGGCAGACUAACAGUUAAAAAUACAUUCUCAGACACAGACACACAUACAUAUGUGUACACAUACAUGUAUAUGACACACACAGGAAUAUUCUGGAAAACUAUAGUCUGGUACCUUUUUAAGCAACGCAAAAUCCAGAAGCCACAAAAAAAUGAAAUCAAAGUAGUUACAUUUCAGCAACAAUAAAAACUAAGCAUGG
Molecule: long non-coding RNA, 4103 nt
Filed under: Marmota monax (woodchuck)
Lineage: Eukaryota; Metazoa; Chordata; Mammalia; Rodentia; Sciuridae
Source: RNAcentral